CCCCUGGUGGUCUAGUGGUUAGGAUGCAGUACUCCCACCACUGCGGCCCGGGUUCGAUUCCCAGUCAGGGAA
Chiroxiphia lanceolata (lance-tailed manakin) is the source of this 72-nucleotide non-coding RNA. Lineage: Eukaryota; Metazoa; Chordata; Aves; Passeriformes; Pipridae. The record is from the annotation of a RefSeq genome assembly.